CUUGGGGAUGUUUUUCUAAGGGAGUUUACAUCAUCUGUAGUACCAGUUACUGUAAGUGGAACCUUUCUCUUCAUGGCUUGGGGAAGCAUUUUGUUGCUGUGGUAAAUGAACUGGAGGAGCAUUCUGUUUCUGCUUGCUUCAUAGGGGGUUAGCCUACACACUGGCUAGCUCUUGUGUUUGCCAAGAACUGGACAAGUUCUGUUCUCAGCUGAUGAUUGCCACACUGUCGGGUACCCGGUCUCAGGAGGAUUCCUUAGCUUACAUUUUUUCUUGUGUGAAGCUGUACUAAGACUGUCUUUCUCUGCACAAAAGAAUGAAAAAUGUUAAUUAUUUCAAUUUAGCAAUGUUUUCCUUUCUGCAAGCUUGGGAAGUGAUAGAAGUGAUAAACAAUGUAGUGUGGUGGUUUUUGUUUGUUUUGAAGCACUUGUUAAGGGAAUAAAGACAAGAGCCUUAAUUCUGAAAUUAUAUACUGUGGAGUGCUGCUUUCCUUUCUUGAUGAUGUUUCUUAAGUACUCUAACAGCUCUAACAGUGAAAAUCUGAGAGCACAAAACCAGUCAUCUCAUCUGAAAUGAUGUAGAAUUUUAUAGAUAAAAUUCUAGCCAUUUUGAACAACCUACGCUUUUGUUAAAAAUAUUAUUUCCCACUAAAAGAGUUUUCCUACUGUGUACUUAUAUACUUACACUUAUAUUACUUUUUUUAAGUUUCUCAUAUUUGUAUCUAGAUACUAAAUGUAUUAACUUAAAAUACUAUUUAAUGAGACAAAUUUUCACUCUGAAUUUUGCGUGCCUGGUAAGGUGAGGAUUGACACGGUGGUAAAUUUGGGUUUUGAGGAGGUGGCUUAAUACUAGACCAAAAACUUUUCACACAUGUAAAUGGUGAACAAACUACUCUAGGUCCAAUUUGUUUUUAAAGCCUGAGAGAAUAACUUUGGCCAAAGAAAGUUCAGAUUGUACUGGGGGCAUUUUCUACUUACAUCAUUUGGUAUUCAGGCAGACCUUAUGUUGAAA
Anas platyrhynchos (mallard) is the source of this 1008-nucleotide long non-coding RNA. RefSeq lists it as uncharacterized. NCBI's taxonomy places the organism in Eukaryota, Metazoa, Chordata, Aves, Anseriformes, Anatidae. The record is from RefSeq and is a predicted model, not a curated record.